RNAcentral lists this non-coding RNA (1889 nucleotides) under Moniliophthora roreri. RNAcentral's name for it is "Bacterial small subunit ribosomal RNA". It matches the Rfam family "Bacterial small subunit ribosomal RNA". Lineage: Eukaryota; Fungi; Basidiomycota; Agaricomycetes; Agaricales; Marasmiaceae. The record is from Rfam by way of RNAcentral.
AUUUAGAAGAAUUUAAUUUUGGUUCUGAUUGAACGUUUUUCAGUAGUUUUAAGACAUGCAAAUCAUUGUUUAUAAUAAGUUAAUUAUUUAAAAUAAAUAAUAUAAAACUUAUAAAAAAUAAGGUGUAAAGGUGAGUAAUAUAGAUUAGAUACCUUGUAGUCUUCUUAAAUAGGAGAUAAUUUUACUUCUUAGGUAUAAAUUUUUUUAAUUAAUUUAAAUUUAAGAUACUUUAAUUUUAUAAUUAUUAGGAAAAGUAAAGAUAAAUAAGCUAUUUAUUAAAUAAAGGAAAUUUUCUGCUAUAAGAUUCGAUCUAUUCUGUUUAAGGGUAGUUGGUAGAGUAAAAGCCUACCAAGCCAACGAUCAGAAGCCAUGUUUGAGAGAUCAGAUGGCCACAUUGGGAAUGAAAUGUCCCUAGUAGUGUUUAACUACCAGCAGUCAAGAAUAUUAGUCAAUGCUCGAAAGAGUGAACUAGCUAACUGAAAUCACAUUUUGAUCUUCGGGAGAAGUGAUAAAUGUCCAUAGUAAGGGAAAAAAAUGAUGCUACCUUACUCUUAGUGUUGUCCAAAUCUGGUGCCAGAAGACUCGGUAAGGCCAGGAACGCGAACGUUAGUCACAUUGACCAGGCGUAAAGGGUAUGUAGGCAGCUUGAAAGUUUUAUUUUUAUCAUAGCUAUUUCAAUUUAAAAUAAAUAAUUUUAAAUAUUUAUUUUUUUGAUUUUAAAAAUAAAAUGAAUUAAAGAUAGAAUCAAAUUGAGGAUAAGCCGAAUAAUAUUUAGAGUAGGGAUUAAAUAUGCAAAUACUAAAUGGAAUACUAAAGGUGAAAGCUUUUUAUCUAAUAUUGAUCGACGCUGAGAUACUAAGGUGGGAAAAGGAAAUAGGAUUAGAGACCCUGGUACCUCCCACAGUCAACGAUGAAUGGUGGAUUAUUAGUUUUAUUUAAAACUAGUACCGAUGUUAACGCGAUAACCAUUCCGCCUUGAGAGUACGGUUGCAAAACUGGAACCAAAAAAAUUAGUCGGUCUCGGAGCAAACGAAGUGAAGCAUGUUAUUUAAUACGAUAAUCCGCGUAAAAUCUUACCAGUUCUUGUAUAGCCGUAUUUAUUUAGAAAAUUAUAUUGACAUAUUUUAUUAAGUAUGUGAUAUAAUUUUUUAUAGUAAUAUAUGAGUAGUUAUUAUUAAUUUAAUAACUCGUUUACAGGUGUUGCAUGGCUGUCGUCAGUCCGUGUUUUGAGAAGUUAGGUUAAAUCCACUAACGGACAAAAUCCCUGUUGUAAAUUUAUACUUUACAAUUAAUGAAUUUUAUAUACUUUCAUUUGGGGCUAAGACAAGUCGUUAUGGCCCUAAUGAACUGGGCUAUAGAUGUGCCACAAGGACUUUUACAAAGUGAUGCAAUAACCAGACCUUAUAUUUAUUGAAUUUAGAUCAUCCGAUCGCUACGCUGCUAAGCAGCUUUAGCAUUCAAUUAAUAUGUUAUCUUUUUUUAAAUAAAAUUAAAAAAGUUAAGGAUCAUAAGGAAUAGCUAAUCAUUAAAGAAAGUCAAUAUUAUUAAAAAUUUUUAGACGAAUUGUCGCCUGAAAUUCGGCGACAUGAAGAAGGAAUUUCGAGUAAUCGUUGAUCACUAGCGCAACGGUGAAGAGUGCAUCCGUGAUGAACUAACCGUCUGUCACUGGGAAGGAAUUCGGAUAGGGGGAAAUUGUAGCCUAAUUAUAACUAUUCAAAGAUAUUUAGUUUUAAUAUAAAAAUAAAAACUUUAUUGAUUUAAUAUUUUAAAUCUUUUAAAAAAAAAACAUCUUUGUUUAAAUAAUUAGUUAUUUUUAACCCAUUUGAGUAACAUCUCAAAAGUCAUAGCAAGGUAGCUGUACUGGAAGGUGCUGCUGGAAAAUAAAUUUA